RNAcentral lists this ribosomal RNA (359 nucleotides) under uncultured bacterium. RNAcentral describes it as "partial 16S ribosomal RNA". It matches the Rfam family "Bacterial small subunit ribosomal RNA", at positions 338 to 710 of the family's 1533-position model. The record is from RNAcentral.
CCUACGGGUGGCUGCAGUGGGGAAUAUUGGGCAAUGGAGGAAACUCUGACCCAGCAAUGCCGCGUGAAUGAAGAAGGUCCUCGGAUUGUAAAGUUCUUUAGUCAGGGAAGAAUAAAAUGACGGUACCUGACGAAUAAGCUCUGGCUAACUACGUGCCAGCAGCGGCGGUCAUACGUAGGGAGCAAGCGUUGUUCGGAAUGACUGGGCGUAAAGGGUGCGUAGGCGGUUAUACAAGUUAGAAGGGAAAUACACAGGGCUUAACUCGGGUGCUGCCUCUAAAACUGUAAGACUUGAGUGCAGUAGAGGUUUGUGGAAUGCCUGGUGUAGCGGUGGAAUGCGUAGAUAUUAGGAAGAACACC